Molecule: ribosomal RNA, 490 nt
Filed under: uncultured bacterium
Lineage: Bacteria
Description: partial 16S ribosomal RNA
Rfam family: Bacterial small subunit ribosomal RNA
Source: RNAcentral
AUUGAACGCUGGCGGCAGGCCUAACACAUGCAAGUCGAACGGUAAAGGAAAACGCCUGGUGUUUCGGUUAAGGGUUGCCGGCGGGUUAGUUAUUUCCUGGAAAAUGCCCGGUGGGGGGGGUAUAUCUAUUGAAACGGUAGCCUAUACCCCCUUACCUUCCCACACCAAAAGAGGGGGACCCUGGGUCUUCUGCCAUUCGAUGCUGCCAGGAUGGGUUUGGCUUUUUGGUGGGGUAACGCCACACCAAGGGGACGUUCCCAACCUGGCCUGGGGGGUUAACCGGCCACACUGGAACUGAGACACGGUCCAGACUCCUAAGGGAGGCAGCAGUGGGGAAUAUUGCACAAUGGGCGCAAGCCUGAUGCAGCCAUGCCGCGUGUAUGAAGAAGGCCUUCGGGUUGUAAAGUACUUUCAGCGGGGAGGAAGGGAGUAAAGUUAAUACCUUGGCUCACUGACGUUACCCGCAGAAGAAGCACCGGCUAACUCCGUG